RNAcentral lists this ribosomal RNA (492 nucleotides) under uncultured bacterium. RNAcentral's name for it is "partial 16S ribosomal RNA". It matches the Rfam family "Bacterial small subunit ribosomal RNA", at positions 29 to 507 of the family's 1533-position model. The record is from RNAcentral.
AGUGAACGCUGGCGGUAGGCCUAACACAUGCAAGUCGAACGGCAGCACAGUAAGAGCUUGCCCUUACGGGUGGCGAGUGGCGGACGGGUGAGGAAUACAUCGGAAUCUACAUUUUCGUGGGGGAUAACGUAGGGAAACUUACGCUAAUACCGCAUACGACCUACGGGUGAAAGCAGGGGAUAUUCGGACCUUGCGCGAUUGAAUGAGCCGAUGUCGUAUUAGCUAGUUGGGGGGGUUAAGGCCCACCAAGGCGACGAUACGUAGCUGGUCUGUGAGGAUGAUCACCCACCUUGGAACUGAGACACCGUCCAGACUCCUACGAGACGCAGCAGUGGGGAAUGUUAGACAAUGGUCGCAAGCCUGGUCCAGCCAUACCGCGUGGGUUAAGAAGGCCUUCGGGUUGUAAAGCCCUUUUGUUGGGAAAGAAAAGCAGCGGGUUAAUACCCCGCUGUUCUGACGGUACCCAAAGAAUAAGCACCGGCUAACUUCGUG